GAUGAUUUGUUGUUGACUUGCAUACAAAAGAAGAGAAGUUUAUUUACUAUGUGUAGUUCUUGUUUGUGUGAACUCUUAAUCAUUUUCUAUUUAUUUCAGGUUCUUCAUAACAUUACUGUUGCAGAAUACUUUCACUGGAAUAUGCUACGAAACCUUGCUGGCAUCUAUUAUGAACAAAGUCAACUUGACAUGGCAAUUUUGCAUUACAAGCAAGCUAUCAACUGUGAUUCUACCUUUAUUGAAGCUUACAAUAAUCUGGGGAAUGCUCUCAAAGACGCUGGACAUGCUCUCAAAGACGCUGGACAUUAUAGGGUGACUUUUUAAUUUGGAUAUU
This is a long non-coding RNA of Zingiber officinale, 334 nucleotides long. RefSeq lists it as uncharacterized. Lineage: Eukaryota; Viridiplantae; Streptophyta; Magnoliopsida; Zingiberales; Zingiberaceae. The record is from RefSeq and is a predicted model, not a curated record. The transcript is spliced from 3 exons.